AGCAGCCGCGGUAAUUCCAGCUCCAAUAGCGUAUAUUAAAGUUGCUGCAGUUAAAAAGCUCGUAGUUGAAUUUCGGGACUAAUAUGUCGGUCGUGCCUCGGUACGUACUGGUAUUUUUGGUUUCUCCCUUCUGACGAACCUUGAUGUCAUUAAUUUGGUGUCUUGGGAAAUCAGGACUGUUACUUUGAAAAAAUUAGAGUGUUUAAAGCAGGCUCACGCUUGAAUACAUUAGCAUGGAAUAAUGAAAUAGGACGUUUGAUUCUAUUUUGUUGGUUUCUAGGAUCGACGUAAUGAUUAAUAGGGAUAGUUGGGGGCAUUAGUAUUCAAUUGUCAGAGGUGAAAUUCUUGGAUUUAUUGAAGACUAACUACUGCGAAAGCAUUUGCCAAGGAUGUUUUCAUUAAUCAAGAACGAAAGUUAGGGGAUCGAAGACGAUCAGAUACCGUCGUAGUCUUAACCAUAAACUAUGCCGACUAGGGAUCGGAUGAUGUUAAUUUUUUAAUGACUCA
This 507-nucleotide ribosomal RNA is filed under the name Glomus sp. Glo48. RNAcentral's name for it is "SSU rRNA". It matches the Rfam family "Eukaryotic small subunit ribosomal RNA", at positions 569 to 1078 of the family's 1831-position model. The record is from RNAcentral. RNAcentral also lists the same sequence under 1 other name. Lineage: Eukaryota; Fungi; Glomeromycota; Glomeromycetes; Glomerales; Glomeraceae.